GAUGAACGCUGGCGAGAUGCUUUACACAUGCAAGUCGUACGAGAGUUUUUAACUCAAGUGGCGGACGGGUGAGUAACACGUAAGAAUUUACCUUUAGGAGGGGGACAACAGUUGGAAACGGCUGCUAAUACCCCAUAUGCUUUCGAGUGAAAUGGAUUUUUCCGCCUAGAGAGAAGCUUGCGGCUGAUUAGCUUGUUGGUGAGGUAAUGGCUUACCAAGGCGACGAUCAGUAUCUGGUUUGAGAGGACGAUCAGACACACUGGAACUGAGACACGGUCCAGACUCCUACGGGAGGCAGCAGUGGGAAUUUUCCGCAAUGGGCGAAAGCCUGACGGAGCAAUCUCGCGUGAGGGAUGACUGCCUAUGGUGGUAACCUCUUUUUCAGGAGGAUUAAUGACGUUACCUGAAGAAUAAGCAUCGGCU
Molecule: ribosomal RNA, 423 nt
Filed under: uncultured bacterium
Lineage: Bacteria
Description: bacterial SSU rRNA
Rfam family: Bacterial small subunit ribosomal RNA
Source: RNAcentral